CCUACGGGGGGCAGCAGUGGGGAAUAUUGCACAAUGGGGGAAACCCUGAUGUAGCGACGCCGCGUGAGUGAAGAAGUAUUUCGGUAUGUAAAGCUCUAUCAGCAGGGAAGAAAAUGACGGUACCUGAUUAAGAAGCCCCGGCUAACUACGGGCCAGCAGCCGCGGUAAUACGUAGGGGGCGAGCGUUAUCCGGAUUUAUUUGGUGUAAAGGGAGCGUAGACGGCAGGAGAAGUCUGGCGUGAAAUGCCGGGUCUUAACCCCGGCCCUGCGUUGGAAACUGUGCUGCUAGAGUGAAGGAGAGGUAUGUGGAAUGCGUGGUGUAGCGGUGAAAUGCGGAGAUAUCACGCAGAACACCAGUGGCGAAGGCGGCUUACCGGACCGUAACUGACGUUGAGGCACGAAAGCGUGGGGAGCGAACAGGAUUAGAUACCCCAGUAGUC
This 440-nucleotide ribosomal RNA is filed under the name uncultured bacterium. Its description in RNAcentral is "partial 16S ribosomal RNA". It matches the Rfam family "Bacterial small subunit ribosomal RNA", at positions 338 to 795 of the family's 1533-position model. The record is from RNAcentral.